GAAUAUUGGGCAAUGGACGCAAGUCUGACCCAGCCAUGCCGCGUGCAGGAUGUAGGCCUUCUGGGUUGUAAACUGCUUUUUUACGGGAAGAAAAAACUCAUGCGUGAGGAACUGACGGUACCGUAAGAAUAAGCACCGGCUAACUCCGUUCCAGCAGCCGCGGUAAUACGGAGGGUGCAAGCGUUGUCCGGAUUUAUUGGGUUUAAAGGGUGCGUAGGCGGCCCGUUAAGUCAGUGGUGAAAGCCCAUAGCUCAACUAUGGAACUGCCAUUGAUACUGACGGGCUUGAGUACAGACGAGGUAGGCGGAAUUGAAGAUGUAGCGGUGAAAUGCAUAGAUAUCUUCAAGAACACCGAUUGCGUAGGCAGCUUACUAGGCUGUAACUGACGCUGAGGCACGAAAGCGUGGGGAGCGAACAGG
RNAcentral lists this ribosomal RNA (419 nucleotides) under uncultured bacterium. RNAcentral's name for it is "bacterial SSU rRNA". It matches the Rfam family "Bacterial small subunit ribosomal RNA", at positions 359 to 776 of the family's 1533-position model. The record is from RNAcentral.